Molecule: RNA transcript, 1210 nt
Organism: Bactrocera oleae (olive fruit fly)
Lineage: Eukaryota; Metazoa; Arthropoda; Insecta; Diptera; Tephritidae
Gene name: metaxin-2
Source: RefSeq, a predicted model, not a curated record
UUGAACCUUCUCUAUGAUAUACGUUCUCUGCUGUUACAUUAAGAAAUUACGCUAUUAUUUAUUACCAAAAACGCUCUACAACACUAACAAACUAGCAGCUGUUUGUGACAUUUUUACUUGUUUGCAUUUUUAGAAGAUAUCCAACCCAACUCGGAAUUAAACAGUUGUGUAAGCAAUUUAUAAAAUCACAACAAAUUUCAUAUUUUCAAAAGUUACUCAUAUAUUGAUUUGAAAUAUAAUAUUCAAUAUGCAGUCCUCACAGUACCUUAGUCAACUGAACGCCCUCGAAAAGAUGAGCGAUGAACCGUGGCCGGAGGAUGCAGUACUUUAUCAGCCUUACGAAGCAGAGCAAAUACUUUUGCCAGAACAUGCUAGUUGCUUAGCUGUUAAGGCGUAUCUUAAAAUGUGCCAACUACCAUUUGAAGUACGCUCAUGUGCAAAUGCUGAAUAUAUGUCGCCAAGUGGACGUUUGACAAAGCUGCCAUUUAUUCGUGCCGGAGCGUUCAUAGUGAGUGAAUUUGAACCCAUAGUAAAUUUUAUUGAGCAUAAAGGCUCGGCUAUCGGGCAGUGGUUGGACGAUGACAGCAAGGCUGAUAUGCGUACAUAUGUAUCAUUGGCUGAAAACAUCUUUACAAUGGCCGAACUAUAUAUCAGCUUCAUCAACAAAAUUGUAUAUGAAAAAGUGACAGCACCACGAAAUGGCUGUGUUUUUCCAUGGCCACUUAAUCUAAUACAAAAUUACUCUAAGCGCCGCAAUACACUGCGUUUGCUGAAGGUAUAUCAAUGGAACGAUAUGACUAUUGAAGAUGUAAUUGAGAAGGUAGAGAAAUGUUGUGAGACAUUAACAUUGAAACUCGAAGAGUCGCCCGAUACGCCGUUCUUUUAUUCGGACCAGCCAUGCGAAUUGGACGCGAUUGCCUUUGGACAUCUUUUUGCUAUUUUAACAACUGAUUUGCCAAAUAUGGCACUUGCACAGACAGUGCGAAAAUUUAAACGUUUGGUAGAGUUUUGCCAAUAUAUUGAUGGGAAAUAUUUCCAAAUGAGGUCUCUAUAAAGUGUUUGGAUGUUAUACGUUAAUAUUUAUUUGAAUUUUACGCAGAUUUUUAGUAAAUGAAUCUAAAUUGCUCAGCCGAUCCAAGAUGCGAGCAAUCCCACUUAUACAAAUUUAUACACGUAUAUAGAAAUAAAUUGUUAAUUAAAAUCAAUGGAA